ACCCUAUUUCUUUUCUAUCGUUCUCCUUCUCCCAUCGGGCACAGUCUAUCGUUGCGGAAAUAGCUGAUGUACGUCGGCCUCAGAAUCAGAUCCGUUGAUUAUUCGCGCUUCACUAUCUGGUCAGUGAGGAUUCUCUCAGUUCCCAUAUGACUCGUUCCCUUGAAGCCAAAUUAAUCGUGUUGCUUUCUAAUUAUCACUUCCUCAGCCUUUCAUCGUGUUGAUUUGGGAGUACACUUGAGCAGCUACAUUUCAUUAAUUAAAUUUAUUGAUUUUUGAAAAUUUCUACUAGUUUUUCCACUUUCCGAUCAGGGAAUAUAUUAAAUCGACGGUGAUGAGCUAUAUACAGACCUGUAAUGAUUUGCGGUCAUGAUCGCAAUUCUAAAGAACAUCUAAGGGACUGAGUUGAUUAAUAGCUACUCCCAAUUUUUUUAAACCUAUUAUUUCUCUGUUGAUAUUUCGUUUUUAAAAGAUUUUUGGCUUUGCUCUAAUUUCUCAAGCCUGCAUUUAUCAAAUAAUUCAUGCGAGGCAAAACGGUUAUGCGAAGCCUAAAUGAUUGUUCUCCUCGCUAUCCGUCUCUUCAAUAAAAUGCUGAGUUUGGACGUCGGAGAACGACAUUGUUUUAUCUAAUUUCAAAGUAGUUAGACCUCCACUCGAUUAAAUCAUAUUUGGUGAACAAUGUAUUGUGAAUUAUCCGUAAUAUUCUCCUGUGUUUCCAUGAAUUAGUAUGUACACAGAAGUAUUUACAUUUUUCGAUCAAUUGAAGAUUUAAAGAAUUAUUCUGAUU
Molecule: long non-coding RNA, 784 nt
Organism: Carica papaya (papaya)
Lineage: Eukaryota; Viridiplantae; Streptophyta; Magnoliopsida; Brassicales; Caricaceae
Source: RefSeq, a predicted model, not a curated record